GAGAGGAUGAAGACUGGAUAGGAAGAAGAGUGAAAGAGGAGGAAAGAUUGGAGAAGGAGAAGGAAAGAUGAAGGGAGUAAAAAGAGUGAAGCGAGGAGAGUGUGGAAGAGUGAGGCGGAAAGGUAAAGAGAAGGAAAGGCAGGAAGAGGACUGAAGAAAAGAGUAGGAGAAAGAUUGGAGGAGAAGAAAAAGUUAAGAGUAAGAAGAGUGACACAAUGACAUGAGACAAUGUCCAUUUAUACGCUCAGGUCAAGACAAUAGAAUGGUUCACUGCACCCUUUGUAAGUCCUCUUUUUCAAUCGGCAGCGGGGGACGAACGGCAGUGGUAGAACAUCAACAGACCAAAAAGAUUGCCCGUGUUGGUUUGCCCUCUGUCACCACAUUCUUCAAGAAGGUAGCGCCUUCCCAAGAAGAAUAUGAUUUAGCUGUGCAGGAGGGAUGUCUUUGCAUACCACACUAUGCGACACAAUCAUAGUUACAGAUCUCUGGGCUGCACAGCACAACUGACACGGAAGCUUUAUGAGCCAAAGUUUACAUGUGCUAGGACAAAAUGUGAAGCCAUAGUAAGUAGCGUGUUAGCACCUUGGGCAACUACUUUAGUAACACAGGACCUAGACCAGGUUGAAUUUGUCUCCCUGUCCAUUGAUGCGUCCAAUCAUGGACAUGUAAAGCUGCUGCCAAUAGUAGUCAGAUAUUGUAAGAUAUAUGAUGGCAACACAUCUGUGGAAACAAACCUGCUUGAUUUUGUUGAAUUGAAAGGAGAAACAGCAGAGGAAAUUGCAGCUGAGGUCCUGGAGGUCAUAAAAAAAAUGUAACCUGGAAAACAAAGUCGUGGCAUUCUCUGCCCACAACACAAAUACCAGCUGGGGAGGGUCAAUGUCCAUACCAAAGUUAAAAAUGCUCUGCAGUGGGAGGUGAUUAGCUUAGGUUGUCCUGCCCACAUCAUUCAUAACACGGCCAGAACAGCUUUGGAUAUGAUUCCCCUUGAUGUUGAGUACCUGCUCACAAAGAUAUUUGGACAUUUUCACCGUUGGGAGUAGAAAGACUGAAGAGCUUUUUUUUAGGACACAGAAAUGUUCGCUGGCUGUCCAUGCUCCCUGCUCUAGAAAGAGUGCUGAAAAUGUAUGUGCCAUUGAAAUCCUUUUUUCUUUCUGAAGACAAAUGCCCUGUUGUCCUGCGAACAAUGUUCGAAGAUCCACUGACUGAACUUUGGCUGGUCUUUGUCCAUGGAAACCUGACCGUAUUCGGUGACACAAUCAAGAUGCUUGAGGACCAGGACCACUGUGCUGUGGAGUCCGCUGCAAUUCUGAGGAACAUUGAGGCAAAAUUGACUGCAAGACGUGAUGACAACUUCAUUCCAGUUUUGGUCAGAGGACUUCUGAGAGAGCUGGAGGACAAUGGAGACAUGUCUAAAGAGAGCUUUCUCAAAACAUCCCAGUCGUUCUUCACUACGGCUGUGAACUACUUGCAAGCAUGGGGAAAGCACACAGAUCAUCUAAAAGAUUUACAUAGUCUCCUUUUUACAAAGGCAACCUCAGCGUGAAGAGAUCCAGAAGGCAGCAGACACACUGCAGGAAAAAUGCCCCAUUGUGGCCAUCGCUGAGGAUGCAUUGUUUGACGAGGUUACUGGAUUGCAACAGUUCCUAAAGGGUUACCCACUUCAAAGAGAACGACAUCUCACACAUUAACCUGGCUAAAAUUAGGCUCUGUUGUCAUGUGCUUACCUGGAAGUAAAGCACCAGUCGAGAGAGUGUUCUCCUAAAUGAAUGAUCUAUGGACAGCAGCAAGAAAUAGGUUCACUGUUCCUACCAUCAAGGCCAUGCUUAUUGUGAAGACAAACUUCAACCUCCUCUGCCAGGAGUUCAUGGAGAAUCUGGCCGAAGACAUAGCAAUCCUGAAGGAGAUACAUUCUUCUGAGAAAUAUACAGAUUAGGCCACCAGGACCACUGAAUGGCUGUUCAGAUCAGUUCUACCCAGACUACCAGG
Molecule: long non-coding RNA, 1986 nt
Organism: Oncorhynchus gorbuscha (pink salmon)
Lineage: Eukaryota; Metazoa; Chordata; Actinopteri; Salmoniformes; Salmonidae
Exons: 3
Source: RefSeq, a predicted model, not a curated record